UGCAGUCGAGCGGACAGAAGGGAGCUUGCUCCCGGAUGUUAGCGGCGGACGGGUGAGUAACACGUGGGUAACCUGCCUGUAAGACUGGGAUAACUCCGGGAAACCGGAGCUAAUACCGGAUAGUUCCUUGAACCGCAUGGUUCAAGGAUGAAAGACGGUUUCGGCUGUCACUUACAGAUGGACCCGCGGCGCAUUAGCUAGUUGGUGAGGUAACGGCUCACCAAGGCGACGAUGCGUAGCCGACCUGAGAGGGUGAUCGGCCACACUGGGACUGAGACACGGCCCAGACUCCUACGGGAGGCAGCAGUAGGGAAUCUUCCGCAAUGGACGAAAGUCUGACGGAGCAACGCCGCGUGAGUGAUGAAGGUUUUCGGAUCGUAAAGCUCUGUUGUUAGGGAAGAACAAGUGCAAGAGUAACUGCUUGCACCUUGACGGUACCUAACCAGAAAGCCACGGCUAACUACGUGCCAGCAGCCGCGGUAAUACGUAGGUGGCAAGCGUUGUCCGGAAUUAUUGGGCGUAAAGGGCUCGCAGGCGGUUUCUUAAGUCUGAUGUGAAAGCCCCCGGCUCAACCGGGGAGGGUCAUUGGAAACUGGGAAACUUGAGUGCAGAAGAGGAGAGUGGAAUUCCACGUGUAGCGGUGAAAUGCGUAGAGAUGUGGAGGAACACCAGUGGCGAAGGCGACUCUCUGGUCUGUAACUGACGCUGAGGAGCGAAA
Molecule: ribosomal RNA, 718 nt
Filed under: Bacillus aerophilus
Lineage: Bacteria; Bacillati; Bacillota; Bacilli; Caryophanales; Bacillaceae
Description: bacterial SSU rRNA
Rfam family: Bacterial small subunit ribosomal RNA
Source: RNAcentral